Molecule: ribosomal RNA, 500 nt
Filed under: uncultured bacterium
Lineage: Bacteria
Description: partial 16S ribosomal RNA
Rfam family: Bacterial small subunit ribosomal RNA
Source: RNAcentral
AUUGAACGCUGGCGGAAUGCUUUACACAUGCAAGUCGAACGGCAGCACGGACUUCGGUCUGGUGGCGAGUGGCGAACGGGUGAGUAAUGUAUCGGAACGUGCCCAGUCGUGGGGGAUAACGUAGUGAAAAUUACGCUAAUACCGCAUACGACCUAUGGAUGAAAGCGGGGGAUCGCAAGAACUCGCGCGAUUGGAGCGGCCGCGAUCAGAUUAGGUAGUUGGUGGGGUAAAGGCCCACCAAGCCAACGAUCUGUAGCUGGUCUGAGAGGACGACCAGCCACACUGGAACUGAGACACGGUCCAGACUCCUACGGGAGGCAGCAGUGGGGAAUUUUGGACAAUGGGCGAAAGCCUGAUCCAGCCAUUCCGCGUGCAGGAUGAAGGCCCUCGGGUUGUAAACUGCUUUUGUACAGAACGAAAAGGUUUCUACUAAUACUAGGAGCUCAUGACGGUACUGUAAGAAUAAGCACCGGCUAACUACGUGCCAGCAGCCGCCGUAA